UACGGAAGGCAGCAGUGGGGAAUAUUGCACAAUGGGCGCAAGCCUGAUGCAGCCAUGCCGCGUGUAUGAAGAAGGCCUUCGGGUUGUAAAGUACUUUCAGCGGGGAGGAAGGCGAUGUGGUUAAUAACCGCGUCGAUUGACGUUACCCGCAGAAGAAGCACCGGCUAACUCCGUGCCAGCAGCCGCGGUAAUACGGAGGGUGCAAGCGUUAAUCGGAAUUACUGGGCGUAAAGCGCACGCAGGCGGUCUGUUAAGUCAGAUGUGAAAUCCCCGGGCUUAACCUGGGAACUGCAUUUUGAAACUGGCAGGCUUGAGUCUCGUAGAGGGGGUGAAUUCCAGGUGUAGCGGUGAAAUGCGUAGAGAUCUGGAGGAAUACCGGUGGCGAAGGCGGCCCCUGGGACGAGACUGACGCUCAGGUGCGAAAGCGUGGGGAGCAAACGAGGGAUUAGGAUACC
This 455-nucleotide ribosomal RNA is filed under the name uncultured bacterium. Its description in RNAcentral is "bacterial SSU rRNA". It matches the Rfam family "Bacterial small subunit ribosomal RNA", at positions 340 to 786 of the family's 1533-position model. The record is from RNAcentral.